UCGGGAAUUUUGGGCAAUGGGCGAAAGCCUGACCCAGCAACGCCGCGUGAAGGAUGAAGUAUUUCGGUAUGUAAACUUCGAAAGAAUAGGAAGAAUAAAUGACGGUACUAUUUAUAAGGUCCGGCUAACUACGUGCCAGCAGCCGCGGUAAUACGUAGGGACCAAGCGUUGUUCGGAUUUACUGGGCGUAAAGGGUGCGUAGGCGGCAUAUCAAGUCACUUGUGAAAUCUCCGGGCUUAACUCGGAACUGCCAAGUGAUACUGAUGUGCUAGAGUGCAGAAGGGGCAAUCGGAAUUCUUGGUGUAGCGGUGAAAUGCGUAGAUAUCAAGAGGGACACCUGAGGUGAAGACGGGUUGCUGGGCUGACACUGACGCUGAGGCGCGAAAGCCAGGGAAGCAAACGGGAUUAGAUACCCCAGUAGUCCCUGAGCGGGCUGGCAAGGCGCAU
This 447-nucleotide ribosomal RNA is filed under the name uncultured bacterium. RNAcentral describes it as "bacterial SSU rRNA". It matches the Rfam family "Bacterial small subunit ribosomal RNA", at positions 355 to 825 of the family's 1533-position model. The record is from RNAcentral.